Molecule: long non-coding RNA, 668 nt
Filed under: Oryzias javanicus (javanese ricefish)
Lineage: Eukaryota; Metazoa; Chordata; Actinopteri; Beloniformes; Adrianichthyidae
Description: lncRNA (ENSOJAG00000020340.1)
Source: RNAcentral
AUUGGUUCUUACGCCCAAACAAACCCCAUAAGGGAGGAGUUGAACCGUAUUGGCGGCCAUAUUGAAUCUUAUCUAUUGACAGUUGUGUCGCUAAUAGGCUCAAAAACAUUAAGACAAGUUAUUUGGAUGCGCACUGUAACUUUUCCUUUUUCUUUUUUAUUUUUACCUUGAACAAUGUCAUAACUGGAAGCCGUUUCUUGUAAAAACAAGUCAUGGAUGAAGAUGAACGGCAAAGGAAGUUAGAAGCGGGCAGAGCCAAGCUUGCUAGCUUCAGACAGAAGCGGGCAAAAAGCAACGCGGGGGAGGCGAAAAAGACGCAGAAGAGGAAGGGUCCGACUGACCCGAAGAAUGACGGCCCAACGCAAGACUGUCACGUAGAGCCAACUCCUCCAUCAGGAAGUGCCACUGAAACCAAUCACAAGGAGGCCUUAAAGGUAGAUGAUUCAGAUGUUCAGGGUGAUGAGUCAAGUAAACAUCCUCCCACUCCAGAGCGCUGUCCAUCUCCUGUGGAAGUUUUGGGAGAGGAGGAGCUAGCUGUACUGACUGGCAAAGAACAGCUCAAGGUAUAAUUUUUUUAAACAAAAAUUGGCAAUAUUUUUGUCUAUAAUAUUGCAUGAUUCCAUUAAAUUUAGAUUCAAGUAAGUCAUUCUAGUCUAAAAGUGGGAACA